RNAcentral lists this ribosomal RNA (253 nucleotides) under uncultured bacterium. RNAcentral describes it as "partial 16S ribosomal RNA". It matches the Rfam family "Bacterial small subunit ribosomal RNA", at positions 524 to 776 of the family's 1533-position model. The record is from RNAcentral.
UACAGAGGUCCCAAGCGUUGUUCGGAUUUACUGGGCGUAAAGGGUGCGUAGGUGGUUGGAUAAGUCUGAUGUGAAAUCUCCGAGCUUAACUCGGAAAUGGCAUUGGAAACUAUUCGACUAGAGAGUUGGAGGGGGGACUGGAAUACUUGGUGUAGCAGUGAAAUGCGUAGAUAUCAAGUGGAACACCAGUGGCGAAGGCGGCAACCUGGACAGAUAUUGACGCUGAUGUACGAAAGCGUGGGGAGCAAACAGG